AUGGCCGAGUGGUCUAAGGCGCCAGACUCAAGUUCUGGUCCUCUUACGAGGGCGUGGGUUCGAACCCCACUUCUGACAUACAUUUUUUUCCUUUUUUACUUAAUAUUAUUUUGCCUUUUCCAUUAUGAAUUUAUUUAUUUAUGUCACGAACACGAUCUCCAUCUUCUUCAGUUCAUAAUAUGCAUUAUGAAUUUACAUGAUGUUUCAUCUGAAUUUUUUUUUCUUCUCCCACUGUCAAUUCUCGAUCUUGGCUGUACACCUAGUCAGACCCCAGCCGUGCAUGCAGUGACCACAAACGUACGGCUGAGAUGA
Molecule: ribosomal RNA, 312 nt
Filed under: Triticum aestivum (bread wheat)
Lineage: Eukaryota; Viridiplantae; Streptophyta; Magnoliopsida; Poales; Poaceae
Description: partial small subunit ribosomal RNA
Rfam family: tRNA (bases 1-78)
Source: RNAcentral